Non-coding RNA from Aspergillus lentulus, 71 nucleotides. The record is from the annotation of a RefSeq genome assembly. NCBI's taxonomy places the organism in Eukaryota, Fungi, Ascomycota, Eurotiomycetes, Eurotiales, Aspergillaceae.
GCCCGAAUGGUCCAGAGGUACGAUUCAUCCUUCGGGUGGAUGAGACCCGCGUUCGAGUCGCGGUUCGGGCC